AAAUCCAUCUUUGAUAAUGCUAUAUCCAAUUUUUGUAUGUGUAGUUAGGAUUAUGUUCCCAUGUGAUUAGAGAAAUUAAACUUUGAUACUUUAACAGACCCUUUUAUCUUUAAUGGAAGGAAUAAGAUGCCAUAUGAAUAGCUUCUUGUAUUGAUCAAUGUAGCUAUUUAACAUAAUAUAGUUGGUUUCUUCAGAAGAUUUCCCUCUGAAAGCAUGUGUGAGUCUUUCUGGAAGGAGGGAUGAUUGUGAUGGAUUUGAGAAGCCUGCUUAAUUGUUUUUACUUGUUUGCUCCGGGGAGUGUAUCUUCAUCUAAACCUGGGUAGUGGUCAAAGAAAACUUGGAUUACUAGCACGCUGUAUGAGGGAUUUUAAUCAAUA
Magnolia sinica is the source of this 377-nucleotide long non-coding RNA. RefSeq lists it as uncharacterized. The record is from RefSeq and is a predicted model, not a curated record. Lineage: Eukaryota; Viridiplantae; Streptophyta; Magnoliopsida; Magnoliales; Magnoliaceae. The transcript has 3 exons.